AGAGUUUGAUCAUGGCUCAGGAUAAACGCUGGCAGCGUGCCUAACACAUGCAAGUCGAACGCUCUAGCUCGCAAGAGGUAGGGAGUGGCGGACGGGUGAGGAACACGUGGGAAUCGACCCUGAGGUGAGGAAUACCACCGGGAAACCGGUGACAAUACCGCAUAGCCUUGGCAGCAAGGAAAGCUCGCAAGAGCGCCACAGGACGAGCCUGCGCCCGAUUAGUUAGCUGGUGAGGUAAUGGCUCACCAGGACGACGAUCGGUAGCUGGUCUGAGAGGACGAUCAGCCACACUGGGAUUGAGAACGGCCCAGACUCCUACGGGGGGCAGCAGUGAGGAAUUUUCGUCAAUGGGGGCAACCCUGAACGAGCAACGCCGCGUGCAGGAAGAAGGUUUUCGGAUCGUAAACUGCUUUUCUCUGGGACGAGUACGGACGGUACCAGAGGAACAAGCCCCGGCUAACUACGUGCCAGCAGCCGCGGUAAUACGUAGGGGGCGAGCGUUGUCCGGAGUUACUGGGCGUAAAGGGUCCGAAGGCGGUGUGCAGCGUUUCACGUGACAGUCUCCGGCUCAACUGGAGAAGGAUGUGGAAAACGAGCAGACUUGAGGGCGUGAGAGGAAAGCGGAAUUCCGGGUGGAGUGGUGAAA
RNAcentral lists this ribosomal RNA (646 nucleotides) under uncultured soil bacterium. Its description in RNAcentral is "bacterial SSU rRNA". It matches the Rfam family "Bacterial small subunit ribosomal RNA", at positions 8 to 686 of the family's 1533-position model. The record is from RNAcentral.